RNAcentral lists this transfer RNA (74 nucleotides) under Nocardia vulneris. RNAcentral describes it as "tRNA-Gln". It matches the Rfam family "tRNA". From Rfam's summary of the family: Transfer RNA (tRNA) molecules are approximately 80 nucleotides in length. Their secondary structure includes four short double-helical elements and three loops (D, anti-codon, and T loops). The record is from RNAcentral. Lineage: Bacteria; Bacillati; Actinomycetota; Actinomycetes; Mycobacteriales; Nocardiaceae.
UCCCCUGUCGUCUAAUGGCAGGACGCAAGACUUUGGUUCUUGCUGUGUAGGUUCGACUCCUACCAGGGGAGCAA